This 1442-nucleotide ribosomal RNA is filed under the name uncultured bacterium. RNAcentral's name for it is "bacterial SSU rRNA". It matches the Rfam family "Bacterial small subunit ribosomal RNA". The record is from RNAcentral.
AGAGUUUGAUCAUGGCUCAGAGUGAACGCUGGCGGCAGGCUUAACACAUGCAAGUCGAACGCCCCGCAAGGGGAGUGGCAGACGGGUGAGUAACACGUGGGAAUUUUCCCUUUAGUUCAGAAUAGCCCUGGGAAACUGGGAGUAAUACUGAAUAUUCUCUUCGGAGGAAAGAUUUAUCGCUAAAGGAUAAGCCCGCGGCAGAUUAGCUAGUUGGUGGGGUAAUGGCCUACCAAGGCGACGAUCUGUAGCUGGUCUGAGAGGAUGAUCAGCCACACCGGAACUGAGACACGGUCCGGACUCCUACGGGAGGCAGCAGUGAGGAAUAUUGGACAAUGGGGGCAACCCUGAUCCAGCCAUGCCGCGUGAGUGAUGAAGGCCUUCGGGUUGUAAAACUCUUUAAGUGGGGAAGAUAAUGACGGUACCCACAGAAUAAGCCACGGCAAACUUCGUGCCAGCAGCCGCGGUAAUACGAAGGUGGCAAGCGUUACUCGGAAUUACUGGGCGUAAAGCGUGUGUAGGUGGGAAACUGUGUCAGGGGUGAAAUCCCGGGGCUUAACCUCGGAAUUGCCUUUGAAACUGGUUUUCUUGAGUAUAGUAGAGGAUGGGUGGAAUUUCCAGUGUAGAGGUGAAAUUCGUAGAUAUUGGAAGGAACAUCGGCGGCGAAGGCGACCAUCUGGGCUAUUACUGACACUGAGACACGAAAGCGUGGGGAGCAAACGGGAUUAGAUACCCCGGUAGUCCACGCUGUAAACGAUGAGUGCUAGUUAUCAGGCUUUAGGUCUGGUGACACAGUUAACACGUUAAGCACUCCGCCUGGGGAGUACGGUCGCAAGAUUAAAACUCAAAGGAAUUGACGGGGACCCGCACAAGCGGUGGAGCAUGUGGUUUAAUUCGAUGCUACGCGAAAAACCUUACCACCUUUUGACAUCCCUAUCGCGCCCUUUGUAAUGGAAGGGCUUCGGUUCGGCCGGAUAGGAGACAAGUGUUGCAUGGCUGUCGUCAGCUCGUGUCGUGAGAUGUUGGGUUAAGUCCCGCAACGAGCGCAACCCUCAUCCUUAGUUGCCAACGGGUUAUGCCGGGAACUCUAGGGAAACUGCCCGUGACAAGCGGGAGGAAGGUGGGGAUGACGUCACGUCAUCAUGGCCUUUACAAGGUGGGCUACACACGUGCUACAAUGGCGGUGACAAUGGGUUGCUACCUCGCGAGAGGAUGCUAAUCUCUAAAAGCCGCCUCAGUUCAGAUUGUAGUCUGCAACUCGACUACAUGAAGUCGGAAUCGCUAGUAAUCGUGGAUCAGCAUGCCACGGUGAAUACGUUCCCGGGUCUUGUACACACUGCCCGUCACGCCAUGGAAGCUGGUUCUACCUUAAGCUGGUGAGCUAACUGCAAAGAGGCAGCCAACCACGGUAGUGUCAGUGACUGGGGUGAAGUCGUAACAAGGUA